RNAcentral lists this long non-coding RNA (582 nucleotides) under Ursus americanus (American black bear). RNAcentral describes it as "lncRNA (ENSUAMG00000023541.1)". Lineage: Eukaryota; Metazoa; Chordata; Mammalia; Carnivora; Ursidae. The record is from RNAcentral.
GAAAGAAGUUGUGCUUCCUUUUCCGCGCGGCCACCGAAGGAUGAGGGCUCGUGGCGUACCAUCGGCCAAGCGGGCCGGGCGGCAGCGUCUGCGGGCCAGUCGCUGGGCUCUUCGAGGUGCAUCAAAGCCUAUGAGGUGAAGAUGAAUGAAAGGCAUCCUGACGUUUUCCAGAAACUGCUCACAGGAUGGCUGUGAUAAAAUCAGGGGCACAACUGCAUGUAAUGAGAGGCAUGCAAUUGGAAGGAAAAAUGAAUUGGUCAAGAAGAUAUGAAUUGGAACAGAUGAUGAAAAUUAGUAUUUUAUUUAACAUAGAUCACCCCACAAUAAGUUUAAUGCAGAAAAAUACAUGUUUGAGUACUUGUAAUUGCUGGACAAUAAAGUCUAUUAUCUUUAAAAUAUAUCAAAUGUUUAAACAGCUCCAUUUUUAUAAUCACUAGUAGGACUUGUUUUUAACAUACUUUAUGGAUAGUAUGUUCUUGUCAAUAACCAGCUCAUUUGUAGACUGAUUCCCUUUGAGAAGGCAGUCAGCUGGGGAGACAUUCUAGUACCUCUAAUUCUCCUGCCCUUUCUUGCCUUAGGGGA